Molecule: unclassified non-coding RNA, 240 nt
Filed under: soil metagenome
Description: partial contains 5.8S ribosomal RNA, internal transcribed spacer 2, and large subunit ribosomal RNA
Source: RNAcentral
AACUGAUACUACCUGCGGGAACCUGCGGAGGGAUCAUUAUUGAAAACAUUGUAGAGGGAGGUUCUAGAGCUGGCUCUUCACGGGGCAAGUGCUCGCCUUUCUCUCAAUCUUCAUCCACCUGUGCACCUUUUGUAGAGAGACUUUGUUUGAGAAAGGGAGCCCGUAAAACGGUUCCUCGGUAUCAGGGGAAGGCCUUUCUAUGUUUUUCACACUCUAAAUGUAUGUCUUGAAUGUCUUUUU